CAUUCGUGAAGGCGUGGACAUGAAUUAUGUUUAUAAAAUAAUUAAGCUUAAUUUUUUUCUUUGGUUAUAUAUAGAGUAGAGAGCAACGCUUUUGGUCUCAUUUCAUAUCCUGUAGGAUCAGACAUUCCUACAAUUUUAUGAUCUAUUAGUAAUUUAUUUUUAGAAAGCUUGAAAUUUGAGAUUAGGGAUGGUAAUAGAUACC
Molecule: long non-coding RNA, 202 nt
Filed under: Populus trichocarpa (black cottonwood)
Lineage: Eukaryota; Viridiplantae; Streptophyta; Magnoliopsida; Malpighiales; Salicaceae
Description: long non-coding RNA (PTRI_LNC003661)
Source: RNAcentral